GGACAGGUGGUGGCAUGGUUGUCGUCAGCUCGUGUCGUGAGAUGUUGGGUUAAGUCCCGCAACGAGCGCAACCCUCGACCUUAGUUGCCAGCAUUCAGUUGGGCACUCUAAGGUGACUGCCGGCUAAAAGUCGGAGGAAGGUGGGGAUGACGUCAAAUCAUCAUGCCCCUUAUGACCUGGGCUACACACGUGCUACAAUGGGCGGUACAAAGGGUCGCGAACCCGCGAGGGGGAGCCAAUCCCAAAAAGCCGCUCUCAGUUCGGAUUGCAGGCUGCAACUCGCCUGCAUGAAGCCGGAAUCGCUAGUAAUCGCGGAUCAGCAUGCCGCGGUGAAUACGUUCCCGGGCCUU
RNAcentral lists this ribosomal RNA (350 nucleotides) under uncultured Anoxybacillus sp. RNAcentral's name for it is "bacterial SSU rRNA". It matches the Rfam family "Bacterial small subunit ribosomal RNA", at positions 1032 to 1382 of the family's 1533-position model. Lineage: Bacteria; Bacillati; Bacillota; Bacilli; Caryophanales; Anoxybacillaceae. The record is from RNAcentral.